AACGAACGCUGGCGGCAGGCCUAACACAUGCAAGUCGAACGUGAAGCCACCUUCGGGUGGUGGAAAGUGGCAGACGGGUGAGUAACGCGUGGGAACGUGCCUUUCGGUUCGGAAUAACCCAGGGAAACUUGGGCUAAUACCGGAUACGCCCUUCGGGGGAAAGAUUUAUCGCCGAAAGAUCGGCCCGCGUCGGAUUAGCCAGUUGGUAGGGUAAUGGCCUACCAAGGCGACGAUCCGUAGCUGGUCUGAGAGGAUGACCAGCCACAUUGGGACUGAGACACGGCCCAGACUCCUACGGGAGGCAGCAGUGGGGAAUAUUGGACAAUGGGCGGAAGCCUGAUCCAGCCAUGCCGCGUGGGUGAAGAAGGCCCUAGGGUUGUAAACCCCUUUCAGCGGGGAAGAUAAUGACGGUACCCGCAGAAGAAGCCCCGGCUAACUCCGUGCCAGCCGCCGCAGUAA
RNAcentral lists this ribosomal RNA (459 nucleotides) under uncultured bacterium. RNAcentral's name for it is "partial 16S ribosomal RNA". It matches the Rfam family "Bacterial small subunit ribosomal RNA", at positions 29 to 523 of the family's 1533-position model. The record is from RNAcentral.